GACGAACGCUGGCGGUGUGCUUAACACAUGCAAGUCGGACGAUGAAGCUGGAGCUUGCUCCAGUGGAUUAGUGGCGAACGGGUGAGUAACACGUGAGCAAUCUGCCCUUGACUCUGGGAUAACUGCGGGAAACUGUAGCUAAUACCGGAUACGACACCUUGGGGCAUCCCGGGGCGUGGAAAGAAUUUCGGUCAAGGAUGAGCUCGCGGCCUAUCAGCUUGUUGGUGAGGUAAAGGCUCACCAAGGCGACGACGGGUAGCCGGCCUGAGAGGGUGACCGGCCACACUGGAACUGAGACACGGUCCAGACUCCUACGGGAGGCAGCAGUGGGGAAUAUUGCACAAUGGGCGAAAGCCUGAUGCAGCAACGCCGCGUGAGGGAUGACGGCCUUCGGGUUGUAAACCUCUUUUAGCAGGGAAGAAGCGAAAGUGACGGUACCUGCAGAAAAAGCACCGGCUAACUACGUACCAGCCGCCGCAGUAA
RNAcentral lists this ribosomal RNA (483 nucleotides) under uncultured bacterium. RNAcentral's name for it is "partial 16S ribosomal RNA". It matches the Rfam family "Bacterial small subunit ribosomal RNA", at positions 28 to 523 of the family's 1533-position model. The record is from RNAcentral.